RNAcentral lists this ribosomal RNA (497 nucleotides) under uncultured bacterium. RNAcentral's name for it is "partial 16S ribosomal RNA". It matches the Rfam family "Bacterial small subunit ribosomal RNA", at positions 28 to 507 of the family's 1533-position model. The record is from RNAcentral.
GAUGAACGCUGGCGGCGUGCCUAAUACAUGCAAGUCGAGCGAACAGACGAGGAGCUUGCUCCUCUGACGUUAGCGGCGGACGGGUGAGUAACACGUGGAUAACCUACCUAUAAGACUGGGAUAACUUCGGGAAACCGGAGCUAAUACCGGAUAAUAUAUUGAACCGCAUGGUUCAAUAGUGAAAGACGGUUUUGCUGUCACUUAUAGAUGGAUCCGCGCCGCAUUAGCUAGUUGGUAAGGUAACGGCUUACCAAGGCGACGAUGCGUAGCCGAACUGAGAGGGUGAUCGGCCACACUGGAACUGAGACACGGUCCAGACUCCUACGGGAGGCAGCAGUAGGGAAUCUUCCGCAAUGGGCGAAAGCCUGACGGAGCAACGCCGCGUGAGUGAUGAAGGUCUUCGGAUCGUAAAGCUCUGUUAUUAGGGAAGAACAAAUGUGUAAGUAACUAUGCACGUCUUGACGGUACCUAAUCAGAAAGCCACGGCUAACUACGUG